GUAGGGGGUGGAGCUGCGUAGUAAUGCGGUGUUAAAGGGCUCAGACCUCUCAGGGGCUGCCGGCUGUCCGGGCUGGAGAGUCGCCCCCUCUGUGCCUCCGUGGAGGAGCGACCGGGCGCACAGUGAAGCAGGUGAUGUGGGCAGCGUGAUUGAUGGGGCCGAGGACCUGGAGAGGCCCGUCUGCAUUCCUCAGCAGGAGCCGGAGGAGGAGGAGGGUACAGGGUCUGGGAUUGAACCUGGGACCUACAGCAGCUCCACUGGCUCCCUGCACCCCCUUUUCUUUUUACUGUUCUUCUUCCUCUCAGCUUAUCUCUAGCAGACGCCCACGGAAAGGACAUUUCCAUCUCUGGGAGGAGGUGACUGACAGGCAGCCUUUCUUCUUUUCCCAAAUCAAUGUUGCAUUUACAAUAUUUGUGACACUGAGAGGCUGUCGCACAUGUGCACACACAUCCAAACGCCAGGGAGUGAGUGCCCCUACACAACACAGCUGCCCGAGCUUGGGAGCUGAGCCACGUUCAGAAGCUCACAUACACGGCUCCACGAGGGUCACCCGCUCCCACCAGUUCCCCCACUCAGAUGGACCCUGGCACAAACACACGUUUACUGGCAGCAACAGGGUAAAGAGAGCUGAAUGAUCCUUUUUGGUUCUGGAUCCCGAGAGAGGAACGAGAAGACAGAGGCAGAGUAGUUAUUUGUCCACUCAGGCUGCCUGCCGCUGAGACCCUAAAUGUCUCUCCCUGGGUGAAUAAUGAGAGGGUGAGGACCCCACUUUUCUUCUUCUUCCUGUUCCCCCACCCCUUGAUAAAAAUAUAUUUGAACCACAUCUCCUGCCAGGUCAUAGAUUCCAGUGGAGACACAGCUGGAUCUCUUAAAACACAAGGAGAGAUGUUUAUCUUUCCUCCCAGCUCUGCCCCCAUCACCUCCCUCUGGGCAUUGCCAGCUAAGGGCAGUGCCUGAUGAGACAAAUUAGGCGGAUUGAGCUGGGCCCCUGGUGCCUCCUGCUGACAGUGGGAGCAGGGUUGGGGGAAGGGUGGGCAGGAGACAGGAGGGGAAGGGGCAGGUAAGGCAAGAACGGAGAUGUCCCUUCCGAGUUUAUUCCUUUUCCCUUCUCUCCUCCCCACACCCCACCCCCUGCCCCAGUCAUUCCAGCGCCCCCCACCUCUGGAAAAGCUGAGUUGGGAUUCGAUCCCGGCCAGUUGCCUGAGUUCCGGAGCAGCUGUCUCAGGCUUGAGGGACAGGGGGAGGGAGCCAGGAAUGCUGGGGCUGAGGCCUGGGCUGCCCCAGACAGAGCCGGCUCUGAAUUCUGGGAAUGUUUGUGCAGCUGGAGCCCAUUAGGGGAGGGAGC
This 1345-nucleotide long non-coding RNA is filed under the name Dasypus novemcinctus (nine-banded armadillo). RNAcentral describes it as "lncRNA (ENSDNOG00000052052.1)". The record is from RNAcentral. Lineage: Eukaryota; Metazoa; Chordata; Mammalia; Cingulata; Dasypodidae.